UGCCAGCAGCCGCGGUAAUACGGAGGGUGCAAGCGUUGUUCGGAAUUACUGGGCGUAAAGCGCGCGUAGGCAGCUAUUUAAGUCAGAUGUGAAAGUCCACGGCUCAACCGUGGAAGUGCAUUCGAAACUGUAAGGCUUGAGUAUUGGAGGGGGUAGUGGAAUUCCCGGUGUAGAGGUGAAAUUCGUAGAUAUCGGGAGGAAUACCGGUGGCGAAGGCGACUAUCUGGCCAAAUACUGACGCUGAGGUGCGAAAGCGUGGGGAGCAAACAGGAUUAGAUA
RNAcentral lists this ribosomal RNA (279 nucleotides) under uncultured bacterium. RNAcentral's name for it is "partial 16S ribosomal RNA". It matches the Rfam family "Bacterial small subunit ribosomal RNA", at positions 506 to 784 of the family's 1533-position model. The record is from RNAcentral.